ACAGAAGCUGUGUGCACCGUCUGGGGGCUCGAUGGUGUUUUUACCUCCAACCUCACCUUCCAGGCAGCUAACCCUAACCUUAACCCUAAACAUAACCACUGCCGGGCUGCCUGGAAGGAGAUGCUGGGGG
Molecule: long non-coding RNA, 130 nt
Organism: Etheostoma spectabile (orangethroat darter)
Lineage: Eukaryota; Metazoa; Chordata; Actinopteri; Perciformes; Percidae
Exons: 3
Source: RefSeq, a predicted model, not a curated record